AACAAGAAAAUAACUUGCUUAAUCCUGAAAUCUGUAAUACAUUAACCCACAAAAUUGCAAAUAUCUCAGCUCUGACAGUAGCCUUCUGAAAUAAUAUAACAAGAUAUAUUAUUUUUACUUCUGGUCCAUAAAAAUAGUAAACAUCGUAUAGACAAUUGAAAACUAAAGCUAAACUACUGCUCGAAAAAAUAAAUAAGACUUGGAUAGACAAGAUAACACCUACGACAUAGAAAGUGGAUACUAAUUUUCAGUGUGACUGAGCAGGAACAAGUCAUAUUGAGGGAUGCUUGCAGGAAUAGCUUGCUGAACCCGACAAGCAAAUAUCCACCUGUUCUCAUGUACUUAAAAACCAAAAUUACACCCCUGCACGUACUCAUUUUCAUAAUCCACAUACUUCGACCAUAAAGGCCGAUAUUGGGCCAUUGCAAUAUCAAGCCAUGGCUUCAUAUUCCCAUUAAAGUGGACAACUGCAGCAUUAUUGAUCUCUUCCAUACUGAUACUUGGAUUAUAACCAAGCCCUAAAACAUGCCAUGAUUUGUCCAGUGGCUUUGUUGUGGAGUAAAAUGUGAUUAAUCCUGGAGGCAGUGUACCCAAUUUCCAUAAGGUCCGGUUUUCAUUCAGAGUCUGCCAAUAAUGGUAAUCCUCUGUGAGCUUCUCCCUCCUCCAAGCAUCCAAAUCAAAGAAGUUCAUUCCAUAAGCCCAUGCACACGCCUUGGGAUUGAACUUAGAAUUGAUCAAUGGAUGAGAGAAAUUCAUGUAUUGUGCAUAGCGAUGAAAUGAACCAAAACAUGUCUCCACAGCUCCAUUCACCUUACCAUCCAUAUCUAUCUUCCAUAGACCAGUCAAAUCCUUCUGAACAACAAUAUCAUCGUCCAAGAACAAUAUCCUGUGCAACUUGGGGUACAAUUCUGGUAAAUAGAAUCUAAUGUGGUUCAAUAUGGAGAGAUACUUCGGGUUUCUGAAUUUCAUAUUAGUUGUAUCCUUUGUUGCAUUUUCGAGCUUAUUCUCGAAGUAAAACUGCUGAAGUUUUGCAGAUUCAAGCUGUUUAAGUACCGGAACAUACGAAGAAUUCAGGAACUUAUAAUCCUCGACCGCCUUCACUUCGAUAAAAGCCCCAUUAUAUUCUUUCAUCUUGAACAUAACUUGCAUAGCCCCAAGAUUCA
This 1163-nucleotide unclassified non-coding RNA is filed under the name Hevea brasiliensis (rubber tree). Lineage: Eukaryota; Viridiplantae; Streptophyta; Magnoliopsida; Malpighiales; Euphorbiaceae. The record is from RNAcentral.